This 301-nucleotide ribosomal RNA is filed under the name uncultured bacterium. RNAcentral's name for it is "partial 16S ribosomal RNA". It matches the Rfam family "Bacterial small subunit ribosomal RNA", at positions 509 to 807 of the family's 1533-position model. The record is from RNAcentral.
CAGUCGCCGCGGUAAUACGUAGGUGGCAAGCGUUGUCCGGAAUUAUUGGGCGUAAAGGGCUCGCAGACGGUUUCUUAAGUCUGAUGUGAAAGCCCCCGGCUCAACCGGGGAGGGUCAUUGGAAACUGGGAAACUUGAGUGCAGAAGAGGAGAGUGGAAUUCCACGUGUAGCGGUGAAAUGCGUAGAGAUGUGGAGGAACACCAAUGGCGAAGGCGACUCUCUGGUCUGUAACUGACGCUGAGGAGCGAAAGCGUGGGGAGCGAACAGGAUUAGAUACCCCUGUAGUCCCUGUCUCUUAUAC